Long non-coding RNA from Haplochromis burtoni (Burton's mouthbrooder), 1132 nucleotides. RefSeq lists it as uncharacterized. The record is from RefSeq and is a predicted model, not a curated record. NCBI's taxonomy places the organism in Eukaryota, Metazoa, Chordata, Actinopteri, Cichliformes, Cichlidae. The transcript has 3 exons.
GCCAGGCUCCACCAUCACCUAGCAGGCCACAACCAGGCUCUACCACAGGUCUACCAGGUCUAUCCGUCAGUCAGCAUGUUAUCCUCGGUAGUCUUUUUUUCCUUUAUUGCUUUUAUUGACAGCUUUUUGUCUACAUGAGGUGCAGAAACAGUCUGUGGAGCAAGAGAAACCAUACUUCUUACUCCUCUCAAAGGGAACAAGGUGGGAUUUUACAUCUUUUAGAAGCUUCUCAAACGUGAUCAUCAGCAGAGAUCUCAUUUCAACUGAUUUAACUGAUUUAUUUAUUCCAAUAUGUGUAAAAAGAAAAUGUUUUAUUGUUCUUCUGCUUCUUUUAUCUGGAAAUGUGCAACCUAAUCCCGGUCCAGAUUGCAAAUGCUUAAGUACUCCUUGUGAUUUUAAAACUCGAACAGGUCUUGGUAUCACUCAUUGAAAUGUCAGAAGUCUUCUUCCCAAACUUGAUUUUGUGAAAAUUUGGAUGAGAGAGUUAGAUACCGAUAUUCUCAUAUUAUUAGAAACCUGGCUUACAAAAUUGAUUACUGACAAAGACAAAACGGGCUAUAAUCUUUUCCGUUGCGACCGCCCCAGAAAGGAUGGCGGUGUUGCAAUUUAUGUAAAAAGCAAAUUCCAUGUUACUGUUGAUUCAUCGGUAUCUGUUCGUAAACAGUUUGAACUUCUUGCCCUCAAGCUCCAACUUUUCAAGGGCUAUUUUAUUACCAUUGUGGGUUGUUAUAGACCCCCCUCGGCUAGUAGUAGAUAUUUUUACCAGCUUUGUUAAGUAUAUAGCACUAUUAUCCGAUGUGUGCAAGGACACCGAGCUGCAGGAAUGGAUCAAUGAGAUAUUUACACACGGCGUCUUAGGAAACAAACUCUCUGGGUUUCCGGCAUCCUUUAAUACUGUUGAGGAGGUGAUCAAGUUUAUCACCAUGGUGAUCUUCACAGUGUCAGUUCAACAUGCUGCACUCAAUAAUGGACAGUUUGACUACAGCUCCUGGAUGCCCUAUGGCUCAGGCUUGCUUCACAAACCUGCUCCAACCACAAAGGGGCAGUCAAGCAUGACGACAUUAUUGGAGACUCUUCCAAAUAUUGGGGAGACAGUAAAGUUUGCAGGAAUGCUUUGGGUACUUUCCCACAA